Molecule: ribosomal RNA, 450 nt
Filed under: uncultured bacterium
Lineage: Bacteria
Description: partial 16S ribosomal RNA
Rfam family: Bacterial small subunit ribosomal RNA
Source: RNAcentral
GUGGGGAAUUUUGGACAAUGGGCGAAAGCCUGAUCCAGCCAUGCCGCGUGCAGGAUGAAGGCCUUCGGGUUGCAAACUGCUUUUGUACGGAACGAAAAGACUCCUUCUAAUAAAGGGGGUCCAUGACGGUACCGUAAGAAUAAGCACCGGCUAACUACGUGCCAGCAGCCGCGGUAAUACGUAGGGUGCAAGCGUUAAUCGGAAUUACUGGGCGUAAAGCGUGCGCAGGCGGUUAUAUAAGACAGAUGUGAAAUCCCCGGGCUCAACCUGGGAACUGCAUUUGUGACUGUAUAGCUAGAGUACGGUAGAGGGGGAUGGAAUUCCGCGUGUAGCAGUGAAAUGCGUAGAUAUGCGGAGGAACACCGAUGGCGAAGGCAAUCCCCUGGACCUGUACUGACGCUCAUGCACGAAAGCGUGGGGAGCAAACAGGAUUAGAAACCCCAGUAGUCC